Molecule: ribosomal RNA, 501 nt
Filed under: uncultured bacterium
Lineage: Bacteria
Description: partial 16S ribosomal RNA
Rfam family: Bacterial small subunit ribosomal RNA
Source: RNAcentral
AUUGAACGCUGGCGGCAGGCUUAACACAUGCAAGUCGAGCGGGGGAAGGUAGCUUGCUACCGGACCUAGCGGCGGACGGGUGAGUAAUGCUUAGGAAUCUGCCUAUUAGUGGGGGACAACAUCUCGAAAGGGAUGCUAAUACCGCAUACGUCCUACGGGAGAAAGCAGGGGAUCUUCGGACCUUGCGCUAAUAGAUGAGCCUAGGUCGGAUUAGCUAGUUGGUGGGGUAAAGGCCUACCAAGGCGACGAUCUGUAGCGGGUCCGAGAGGAUGAUCCGCCACACUGGGACUGAGACACGGCCCAGACUCCUACGGGAGGCAGCAGUGGGGAAUAUUGGACAAUGGGGGGAACCCUGAUCCAGCCAUGCCGCGUGUGUGAAGAAGGCCUUAUGGUUGUAAAGCACUUUAAGCGAGGAGGAGGCUCUUUUGGUUAAUACCCAAGAUGAGUGGACGUUACUCGCAGAAUAAGCACCGGCUAACCCUGUGCCAGCCGCCGCAGUAA